GAUCUCCAUCUCACUUGGUAUCUUUGGCACAGAGACAAUCUAGGUCCGACAUCCAUGGCUCAUGGAGACCCAGAGCAGCUGUUAUCGCUGACAUGCCCACGGACCCGAUGGAGAUGGGCACCAAGUCAUCUACAUUAAGGACUCUGCAUUCCCAUCGUUUGGGACCCAGCCAUGUCCUUCAGCUCCUUCACAACACUGGCUAUUGAGACCAGCAGCAACUCAUAACUUAUGCAUCCCCGCAGCACUGCUACCCGUGGUUCCUAUUCAUCUCUCAGAUCCAGCCUGAGAUGCAAGAACAUUUGAGCCUUGCAACACCCAAGAACCCACGCAGGCAAGAAGAUCCAGAGGAAAGAUGGAUACUUGCCUUUAAUUUAAUGCACCUGCCCCAUCCUAAAUUGUUCUAUUUGAAAUAUUUUACUGUUGUAUUUUGAGUUUUGUUUGCUCUGUUGCAGAAAUUAAAAGGUUUGUGUAUAGUUGGUUACUUAAGAAGAUUGGUAGUUAUAUGCAUUUCCAGAUACAAAGAUACUAUUUUCCAGUAGUUUCAUUUAUAACUUUAUCAUUGUUUUUUACUGUCCUUACAUAAUAAAACCAUUUACAAUAAAUGUGAUGAUGACUCAUAAUAGAUGUAACACAAACUCCUGUGGACAAAGCUGAAAUAAUUGAUAGGAUUUUACAAAAAGCACAUAAGGAACGUUAAACUUCAACCACCCACACAUACUAGAGAGUGCUUGCAAUGACUGCAUCCCAACACACACUCCACAAGCUAACAUGUUCAAGCAGGAGACUCAAAAUAUGAACAAUAAACACCUCAACAGCA
This is a long non-coding RNA of Mauremys mutica (yellowpond turtle), 817 nucleotides long. RefSeq lists it as uncharacterized. NCBI's taxonomy places the organism in Eukaryota, Metazoa, Chordata, Testudines, Geoemydidae. The transcript is spliced from 2 exons. The record is from RefSeq and is a predicted model, not a curated record.